This 376-nucleotide unclassified non-coding RNA is filed under the name soil metagenome. Its description in RNAcentral is "partial contains 5.8S ribosomal RNA, internal transcribed spacer 2, and large subunit ribosomal RNA". The stretch from base 1 to 120 matches the Rfam family "5.8S ribosomal RNA", at positions 35 to 154 of the family's 154-position model. The record is from RNAcentral.
GAUGACGAACGUAGCGAAAUGCGAUAAGUAAUGUGAAUUGCAGAAUUCAGUGAAUCAUCGAAUCUUUGAACGCAUCUUGCGCUCCUUGGUAUUCUGAGGAGCAUGCCUGUUUGAGUGUCAUUAAAUUCUCAACUACACUGACUUUGAAUUGGUGUGGCUUGGAUUUGGGGGGAAAAUUGUUGUGGGCUUUUUGUAUAGUCUGCUCCCCUGAAAUUGAUUAGCGGUACCUUUGUGGAACUGUCUACAGGUGUGAUAAUUAUCUACAUCUUAGACAUCUGCUGGAAUGCUGCUUUCUAAACCUUACUUGUAUUGACAAUCUUGACCUCAAAUCAGGUAGGACUACCCGCUGAACUUAAGCAUAUCAAUAAGCGGAGGA